GAUGAACGCUAGUCGACAGGCUUAACACAUGCAAGUCGAGGGGCAGCAUAAAAGUAGCAAUACUUUGGUGGCGACCGGCGCACGGGUGAGUAACGCGUAUGCAACCUACCUAUCAGAGGGGAAUAACCCGGCGAAAGUCGGACUAAUACCGCAUAAAACAGGGGCACCGCAUGGUGAUAUUUGUUAAAGAAAUUCGCUGAUAGAUGGGCAUGCGUUCCAUUAGGUAGUUGGUGAGGUAACGGCUCACCAAGCCGACGAUGGAUAGGGGAACUGAGAGGUUGGUCCCCCACACUGGUACUGAGACACGGACCAGACUCCUACGGGAGCAGCAGUGAGGAAUAUUGGUCAAUGGGCGGGAGCCUGAACCAGCCAAGUCGCGUGAAGGAAGAAGGAUCUAUGGUUCGUAAACUUCUUUUGCAGGGGAAUAAAGGGCGGGACGUGUCCUGUUUUGUAUGUACCCUGAGAAUAAGGAUCGGCUAACUCCGUGCCAGCAGCCGCGGUAAAGUCUGU
This 510-nucleotide ribosomal RNA is filed under the name uncultured bacterium. RNAcentral describes it as "bacterial SSU rRNA". It matches the Rfam family "Bacterial small subunit ribosomal RNA", at positions 28 to 529 of the family's 1533-position model. The record is from RNAcentral.